Molecule: ribosomal RNA, 420 nt
Filed under: Bacillus sp. CSu5_18
Lineage: Bacteria; Bacillati; Bacillota; Bacilli; Caryophanales; Bacillaceae
Description: bacterial SSU rRNA
Rfam family: Bacterial small subunit ribosomal RNA
Source: RNAcentral
GUCGAGCGGACCGACGGGAGCUUGCUCCCUUAGGUCAGCGGCGGCCGUUAUGAGUGACACGUGGGUAACCUGCCUGUAAGACUGGGCCUUCCUAAGAGGGCCGGGGCUAAUACCGGAUGCUUGAUUGAACCGCAUGGUUCUUUCGUAAACGGCGGCUUCGGCUGCCGUUCUUCAAGAGAGCCGCGGCGCAUUAGCUAGUUGGUGAGGUAACGGCUCACCAAGGCGACGAUGCGUAGCCGACCUGAGAGGGUGAUCGGCCACACUGGGACUGAGACACGGCCCACACUCCUACGGGAGGCAGCAGUAGGGUAUCUUCCGCAGUGGACGAGAGUCUGACUGAUCAACGCCGCGUGAGUGAUGAGGGUUUUCGGAUCGUAAAUCUCUGUUGUUAGGGGAGAACAAGUACCGUUCGAAUAGGGC